UACGGAGGGUGCAAGCGUUAUCCGGAUUUACUGGGUUUAAAGGGUGCGUAGGCGGGCCCCUAAGUCAGUGGUGAAAGCUCCGAGCUUAACUCGGAAACUGCCAUUGAUACUAUAGGUCUUGAAUUCGGUCGAGGUUGGCGGAAUGUGUCGUGUAGCGGUGAAAUGCUUAGAUAUGACACAGAACACCGAUUGCGAAGGCAGCUAGCUAGACCGACAUUGACGCUGAGGCACGAAAGCGUGGGGAUCAAACAGG
RNAcentral lists this ribosomal RNA (253 nucleotides) under uncultured bacterium. RNAcentral describes it as "partial 16S ribosomal RNA". It matches the Rfam family "Bacterial small subunit ribosomal RNA", at positions 524 to 776 of the family's 1533-position model. The record is from RNAcentral.